CGUACACUCCUACGGGAGGCAGCAGUGGGGAAUAUUGCACAAUGGGCGCAAGCCUGAUGCAGCCAUGCCGCGUGUAUGAAGAAGGCCUUCGGGUUGUAAAGUACUUUCAGCGGGGAGGAAGGCGAUAAGGUUAAUAACCUUGUUGAUUGACGUUACCCGCAGAAGAAGCACCGGCUAACUCCGUGCCAGCAGCCGCGGUAAUACGGAGGGUGCAAGCGUUAAUCGGAAUUACUGGGCGUAAAGCGCACGCAGGCGGUCUGUCAAGUCGGAUGUGAAAUCCCCGGGCUCAACCUGGGAACUGCAUUCGAAACUGGCAGGCUAGAGUCUUGUAGAGGGGGGUAGAAUUCCAGGUGUAGCGGUGAAAUGCGUAGAGAUCUGGAGGAAUACCGGUGGCGAAGGCGGCCCCCUGGACAAAGACUGACGCUCAGGUGCGAAAGCGUGGGGAGCAAACAGGAUUAGAUACCCCUGUAGUCCC
This 475-nucleotide ribosomal RNA is filed under the name uncultured organism. RNAcentral's name for it is "partial 16S ribosomal RNA". It matches the Rfam family "Bacterial small subunit ribosomal RNA", at positions 330 to 797 of the family's 1533-position model. The record is from RNAcentral.